RNAcentral lists this long non-coding RNA (481 nucleotides) under Manihot esculenta (cassava). RNAcentral's name for it is "long non-coding RNA (MESC_LNC009265)". Lineage: Eukaryota; Viridiplantae; Streptophyta; Magnoliopsida; Malpighiales; Euphorbiaceae. The record is from RNAcentral.
UUCGGCCCCCGAAUGUUGCAUGGUUUCGCAUGCGAUUGGGGCAGCCGAAGCUGAGUUGGCUAGUGAGCUGAGUCAUGUUUUUUUUGACAAGUGUUGGCCUCAGAUUCUUGCCAUGGAAUGACCACGUCUCUUAUGACUCAUCUGUACAUGUUUUUGGUUGUUCUUACAGCAGUUUGAGGUGCUUGCAAAGGUGUUGAGAGUUGAGAGAAACAAAAGUUACGCUUUUGAGAUUUUGAGAGUUUGAAGAGAGGUUGAUCUGUUUUUCCUUUGUUCAGUGUGUGUAUCUUCCUGUUUCCAGAGGUAAGGGCAGUUUUAGACCCUGUUUAUAUAUUUUCUGAAGAGUGAAAGGAAGGAGAAGCAUGCUUAGGUUAUUCAUGGUAGUUUUUGAUGAUUUAUGUAUGUAUACAUGUUGAUGUGUUAUGUUUGUUUUGUUGUUUGGGGUUAUUAGCUAGUUUUGGACCCCUGUGAACAUAUACUUGAG